RNAcentral lists this ribosomal RNA (104 nucleotides) under Clostridioides difficile. RNAcentral describes it as "partial 23S ribosomal RNA". The stretch from base 1 to 81 matches the Rfam family "Bacterial large subunit ribosomal RNA", at positions 2844 to 2925 of the family's 2925-position model. Lineage: Bacteria; Bacillati; Bacillota; Clostridia; Peptostreptococcales; Peptostreptococcaceae. The record is from RNAcentral.
ACUAUCUGGUUGAUAGGUCGAAGGUGUAAGUGCAGCAAUGUAUUUAGCUUAUCGAUACUAAUAGGUCGAGGACUUGACCAAUAUUUAUUUGAUGUUCAUUCACU